UACGGAAGGUCCGGGCGUUAUCCGGAUUUAUUGGGUUUAAAGGGAGCGUAGGCCGGCUUUUAAGUCAGCUGUGAAAGUCCGCGGCUCAACCGUGGAAUUGCAGUUGAAACUGGAGGCCUUGAGUGCACACAGGGAUGCCGGAAUUCCUAGUGUAGCGGUGAAAUGCGUAGAGAUUAGGAAGAACACCAGUGGCGAAGGCGACUUACUGGACUGUAACUGACGCUGAGGCAUGAGAGCAUGGGGAGCAAACAGG
This 253-nucleotide ribosomal RNA is filed under the name uncultured Prevotellaceae bacterium. RNAcentral's name for it is "partial 16S ribosomal RNA". It matches the Rfam family "Bacterial small subunit ribosomal RNA", at positions 524 to 776 of the family's 1533-position model. The record is from RNAcentral. Lineage: Bacteria; Pseudomonadati; Bacteroidota; Bacteroidia; Bacteroidales; Prevotellaceae.